GAUGUAUGUUCGUGAGCAAGUUCCGGUUCCAUUGUUCGAAUGGUGGAAAUGAUGAAAAAUUGUCAAUCUGAUCUCAGGGAUCUGCAUCUGUCUCAAUUUAAUUGUUCUAUUUUCAGAGAACGCCAUGAUUAAAUUAGGAAGGCUGCUUAUGUAUAUUCUAUAGGAUCCAAACAUGUUUAGACUACAUUCAAACCCGUGAAUUUCAUGUUCUACGUAAGGGAAGUUAACAUCUUUACUUGAAUGUACGAACGGAAAACGGAACAAUAGCUUUAUG
This 274-nucleotide long non-coding RNA is filed under the name Helianthus annuus (common sunflower). Its description in RNAcentral is "sRNA HanXRQr2_Chr02g0085831". The record is from RNAcentral. Lineage: Eukaryota; Viridiplantae; Streptophyta; Magnoliopsida; Asterales; Asteraceae.